GGUCUUAUGGUCUAAGGGUAAUGACUUAACAACUUCACUGUUAAAAUGUUGGUUCAACUCCGACUAAGGCUA
Molecule: transfer RNA, 72 nt
Filed under: Pneumocystis oryctolagi
Lineage: Eukaryota; Fungi; Ascomycota; Pneumocystomycetes; Pneumocystales; Pneumocystaceae
Description: tRNA-Glu
Rfam family: tRNA
About the family: Transfer RNA (tRNA) molecules are approximately 80 nucleotides in length. Their secondary structure includes four short double-helical elements and three loops (D, anti-codon, and T loops).
Source: RNAcentral